This 245-nucleotide ribosomal RNA is filed under the name uncultured bacterium. RNAcentral describes it as "partial 16S ribosomal RNA". It matches the Rfam family "Bacterial small subunit ribosomal RNA", at positions 524 to 768 of the family's 1533-position model. The record is from RNAcentral.
GACAGAGGGUGCUAGCGUUGUUCGGAAUGACUGGGCGUAAAGGGCGCGUAGGCGGUUAUAUUAGUCAAGCGUGAAAGCCCCGGCUUAACCCGGGAAUUGCGCCUGAAACGGUAUGACUAGAGGACGAGAGAGGAAAGCGGAAUUCCUAGUGUAGAGGUGAAAUUCGUAGAUAUUAGGAGGAACAUCAGAGGCGAAGGCGCUUUCUGGGCUCGUUACUGACGCUGAGGCGGCGAAAGCGUGGGGAG